This 490-nucleotide ribosomal RNA is filed under the name uncultured bacterium. Its description in RNAcentral is "partial 16S ribosomal RNA". It matches the Rfam family "Bacterial small subunit ribosomal RNA", at positions 30 to 507 of the family's 1533-position model. The record is from RNAcentral.
AUUGAACGCUGGCGGCAGGCCUAACACAUGCAAGUCGAACGGUAACAGGAAGACGCUUGCUUCUUUGCUGACGAGUGGCGGACGGGUGAGUAAUGUCUGGGAAACUGCCUGAUGGAGGGGGAUAACUACUGGAAACGGUAGCUAAUACCGCAUAACGUCGCAAGACCAAAGAGGGGGACCUUCGGGCCUCUUGCCAUCGGAUGUGCCCAGAUGGGAUUAGCUAGUAGGUGGGGUAACGGCUCACCUAGGCGACGAUCCCUAGCUGGUCUGAGAGGAUGACCAGCCACACUGGAACUGAGACACGGUCCAGGCUCCUACGGGAGGCAGCAGUGGGGAAUAUUGCACAAUGGGCGCAAGCCUGAUGCAGCCAUGCCGCGUGUAUGAAGAAGGCCUUCGGGUUGUAAAGUACUUUCAGCGGGGAGGAAGGGAGUAAAGUUAAUACCUUUACUCAUUGACGUUACCCGCAGAAGAAGCACCGGCUAACUCCGUG